RNAcentral lists this long non-coding RNA (239 nucleotides) under Setaria italica (foxtail millet). Its description in RNAcentral is "long non-coding RNA (SITA_LNC000738)". The record is from RNAcentral. Lineage: Eukaryota; Viridiplantae; Streptophyta; Magnoliopsida; Poales; Poaceae.
UUUAGCAAAUUAGAUUAGCAAUUAAAAAGUAGUACUUACCCAUGCAUGCGAAUCAGAGUUAAACGUUACAAUAAUGCAGCACCGUCAACAUCAUCUUUUCCCGACCGGCCCGGCCCUCUAUUGACAAGUACUGCAGCAUGUGCCCUAGCUUCUCGCCCAACCCUACGUCCGUAGCAGAGAGAGCAGAUCCAUAGAAAUACAUGGAGAGAGCCAAGUCUCUGGCAAAGAGAAUGCCAAAU